GCUGAAGAACGUAGCGAAAUGCGAUAAGUAGUGUGAAUUGCAGAAUUCAGUGAAUCAUCGAAUCUUUGAACGCACAUUGCGCCCCUUGGUAUUCCAUGGGGCAUGCCUGUUCGAGCGUCAUUUGUACCUUCAAGCUCUGCUUGGUGUUGGGUGUUUGUCCUUGCUCUAGUGGCGGGACUCGCCUUAAAGUAAUUGGCAGCCAGUGUUUUGGUUUUGAAGCGCAGCACAAGUCGCGAUUCAAGUCUAUACGCUAGUUUCCACAAGUCUUUUAUCACUUUUGACCUCGGAUCAGGUAGGGAUACCCGCUGAACUUAAGCAUAUAAUAAGCGGAGGA
RNAcentral lists this unclassified non-coding RNA (334 nucleotides) under soil metagenome. RNAcentral describes it as "partial contains 5.8S ribosomal RNA, internal transcribed spacer 2, and large subunit ribosomal RNA". The stretch from base 3 to 120 matches the Rfam family "5.8S ribosomal RNA", at positions 37 to 154 of the family's 154-position model. The record is from RNAcentral.